This 181-nucleotide non-coding RNA is filed under the name Aneurinibacillus thermoaerophilus. Its description in RNAcentral is "6S RNA". It matches the Rfam family "6S / SsrS RNA". From Rfam's summary of the family: E. coli 6S RNA was the first non coding RNA to be sequenced, but its function was unknown until recently. It consists of 184 nucleotides that fold into an extended hairpin structure with a large single-stranded internal bulge. Lineage: Bacteria; Bacillati; Bacillota; Bacilli; Caryophanales; Paenibacillaceae. The record is from RNAcentral. RNAcentral also lists the same sequence under 1 other name.
AUAUGCCUGCGAUGUUCGAUUCAUUUUCUUUGUUUCGAACCGUAACAAUAAAAAGGGAGUCUUAUAUUAAGCCAUGGACACUAUGCUCACAUUGAUGAGACAGUGGAAAUGACUUUGCGGACACCCACCUGCGAGAGCGGGUUUUGAAACAUGAGGAUGAAACGGCAUAGGCGGGGUUUUA